RNAcentral lists this unclassified non-coding RNA (306 nucleotides) under plant metagenome. Its description in RNAcentral is "partial contains 5.8S ribosomal RNA, internal transcribed spacer 2, and large subunit ribosomal RNA". The stretch from base 1 to 105 matches the Rfam family "5.8S ribosomal RNA", at positions 50 to 154 of the family's 154-position model. The record is from RNAcentral.
GAAAUGCGAUAAGUAGUGUGAAUUGCAGAAUUCAGUGAAUCAUCGAAUCUUUGAACGCACAUUGCACCCCUUGGUAUUCCAUGGGGCAUGCCUGUUCGAGCGUCAUUUGUACCUUCAAGCUUUGCUUGGUGUUGGGUGUUUGUCUCGCCUCUGCGCGCAGACUCGCCUCAAAACAAUUGGCAGCCGGCGUAUUGAUUUCGGAGCGCAGUACAUCUCGCGCUUUGCACUCAUAACGACGACGUCCAAAAAGUACAUUUUUUACACUCUUGACCUCGGAUCAGGUAGGGAUACCCGCUGAACUUAAGC